UUCUUUCUCAUUUGGAAAACCCUAAAUCUUUUGCUUCAAACACCGAUUUACCUCCAUAAACAGCAACCAGUGUAUUCAAGCUUGGAAGAAUGGUUUCUCAGCCUUGAGAUCCCCUUUCAAAUUCGAUUUCAAUGAAGCAAAAGGAAAUUCGUGGCAUACUCGCAAGGUAAGACCUCAUUUUUCGUUUUUUGGAUGCAAUAAUAAAAAGUGACAGGAAUAAGCCGAAAGAAAAUUCAAAAGUAUAAAGAAACUCGAAUUGGAAAUCACCUUUUCAAUUUUUUAUUGCUUUUUUCAAUAUGCGUGUGUGUUUCUGGGAAAGAAAUCCCCCUUUACAUCGUUUUCCUUCGGUUUUUAUAGCCGAAAAAUAAAUAAAAAUAAAUAAAAAUAGAUUUCCUUGCUGUAAUCUGUUAUCCUUUGCUGUCAAUUACUGUUUGUUAUUUUCUGUUAUUUUCUUCUCGCAGGUUCGAUUGUACGGAGGAGAACACUCGUGGGGAUGACGUGGAUGAGGCUCAGAAGCUCUGCGGAAGUUGCUGGUGUCUGUUGCAAGCCAAGAGUUGAUUCAAUUGCAGCAUUCGAUACCUAUUCUUUAUUUCUAUAUUGAUUUUCUUCCCCACUUGCCUUAGUAGCCUUUCCUCCCCUUCCCCAGCGCGGAUUUCACUUACUUGCCUUAGGGCAAUCGGAAUUCCGUGAGGAGCUAGGGUUUAGGUUUUGGGCCUUUUGGGCUUGGUUUAUUUUAUUCGGGUAUUGGGCCAUUGUUAGGUCUAUUUUGGGUGUAAUGGGGUUUUGUUGGGUCAUAUAACUUUGGGCUGGUUGUAAUUGGACUAUGGACACUUAUUAUUUUUAUUUUUGUUAUUUUGUUUUUUUUAAUUUUAUUUUUGGUAUGGGC
Molecule: long non-coding RNA, 886 nt
Filed under: Gossypium barbadense (sea-island cotton)
Lineage: Eukaryota; Viridiplantae; Streptophyta; Magnoliopsida; Malvales; Malvaceae
Description: long non-coding RNA (GBAR_LNC009393)
Source: RNAcentral